Molecule: ribosomal RNA, 253 nt
Filed under: uncultured bacterium
Lineage: Bacteria
Description: partial 16S ribosomal RNA
Rfam family: Bacterial small subunit ribosomal RNA
Source: RNAcentral
UACAGAGAGUGCAAGCGUUAAUCGGAAUUACUGGGCGUAAAGCGCGCGUAGGUGGAUAUUUAAGUCGGAUGUGAAAUCCCUGGGCUUAACCUGGGAAUUGCAUCCGAUACUGAAUGUAUAGAGUAUGGUAGAGGGAAGUGGAAUUUCCGGUGUAGCGGUGAAAUGCGUAGAUAUCGGAAAGAACACCAGUGGCGAAGGCGGCUUCCUGGACCAAUACUGACACUGAGGCGCGAAAGCGUGGGGAGCAAACAGG